Molecule: ribosomal RNA, 1217 nt
Filed under: Carassius auratus grandoculis
Lineage: Eukaryota; Metazoa; Chordata; Actinopteri; Cypriniformes; Cyprinidae
Description: partial 16S ribosomal RNA
Rfam family: Bacterial large subunit ribosomal RNA
Source: RNAcentral
GACCUUUAGUUUGAAACCCCGAAACCAGGUGAGCUACCCCGAGACAGCCUAUUGAGGGCCAACCCGUCUCUGUGGCAAAAGAGUGGGAAGAGCUCCGGGUAGAAGUGACAGACCUACCGAACCUGGUGAUAGCUGGUUGCCUAAGAAAUGGAUAGAAGUUCAGCCUCGUACUCCCCAAAUCAAGUAAACAUUAACAAGACAACAAGAGAAACACACGAGAGUUAGUUAAAGGGGGUACAGCCCCUUUGACAAAGGAUACAACCUUUCUAGGAGGAUAAAGAUCAUAAUACAUAAAACAUACUGUUCUAGUGGGCCUAAAAGCAGCCACCUAAACAGAAAGCGUUAAAGCUCAGACAGACAGAAGUUUAUUAUCCUGAUAAUAUAUCUCACUCCCCUAAAUACUAUUAGGCCAACCCAUGCCCACAUGGAAGAGAUUAUGCUAAAAUGAGUAACAAGAAGGCCCGCCCUUCUCCAAGCACAAGUGUAAGCCAAAUCGGACUAGCCAUUGGCAACUAACGAACUCAACCCAAGAGAGCAAUGUGGUAUUACAAAAAAACCUAGAAAAACCCACAACCUAAAUAUCGUUACCCCCACACUGGAGUGCAACAAAGGAAAGACUAAAAGAAAAGGAAGGAACUCGGCAAACACAAGCCUCGCCUGUUUACCAAAAACAUCGCCUCCUGCAACACAACCAAGUAUAGGAGGUCCAGCCUGCCCAGUGACUACAAGUUCAACGGCCGCGGUAUUUUGACCGUGCAAAGGUAGCGCAAUCACUUGUCUUUUAAAUAGAGACCUGUAUGAAUGGCUAAACGAGGGCUUAACUGUCUCCCCUUUCCAGUCAGUGAAAUUGAUCUACCCGUGCAGAAGCGGGUAUAAUAAUACAAGACGAGAAGACCCUUUGGAGCUUAAGGUACAAAACUCAACCACGUUAAGCAACUCAAUAAAAAAUGAAAACUUUGUGGAAUAUGAGAUUUUACCUUCGGUUGGGGCGACCACGGAGGAAAAAAAAGCCUCCAGGUGGACCGGGAGAAUUUCCUAAAACUAAGAGAGACAUCUCUAAGCCACAGAACAUCUGACCAAAUAUGAUCCGACUAAUAUAAGCCGAUCAACGAACCAAGUUACCCUAGGGAUAACAGCGCAAUCCUCUCCCAGAGUCCAUAUCGACGAGGGGGUUUACGACCUCGAUGUUGGAUCAGGACAUCCUAAUGGUGCAGCCG